Hyla sarda is the source of this 945-nucleotide long non-coding RNA. RefSeq lists it as uncharacterized. NCBI's taxonomy places the organism in Eukaryota, Metazoa, Chordata, Amphibia, Anura, Hylidae. The transcript has 2 exons. The record is from RefSeq and is a predicted model, not a curated record.
GUGCCAUCUCCGAGAGGGCUGCAACGGCUAUAAAAAGACAAGACGCGGUAAUCUGACUAAUAAAUGGAAUAUUAUGUUUAGUGCACGAUGGGUGGGGAUCACGGCGUCGCUUUUAGAUGCCAUUUUGCCAUACACGCCUUAUCAUUUUACCACUUUAUCACUGUGUAGAAUGGAGGAUAAAUGAAGAAUGCAUCUAACGAUGAAUUUACUGAGGACUUCACGGAAAGAUAUGUAAAAUAUGAAAUGAUUGUCAUUAUGCACUUUGUGAUAUAUUUAUCCCUGUCUCAAUAUAGCACCUCGUUCAGUUCUUUAAAAAAAAUUAUUGUAUAUUAGCGAUAUGUAUGCUGCAUGUAUAAAGAAGUCUAGUCAGACUCGUAUAUGCAGUAUGCUAUUGCGAUGAUCGGGCGUAUGCGCACACGUGUGCUGAUUUUCAUGUUCACAUUCGCAUGUGCGGAUAGUCAGCGCAUGCCCAUAUUGAAUUGUAAGGACACGGGCAUGCAGAUGAUGACUGAUUAGCUGAUCGGAACUACAUCUUGCAUACUGAGUAACUACGCAGCCAUAGUUUGUUUACAAGCCAUCAUACAUGAGGACAUGUGAAAAUUGUAUCAUCUGCAAGUGGAGGCUGCAAUCAGAGACAUGGAUGGAUGUAAGUGAAGUCCCAGUGAGCUCAUCAGAUGCUUAUAUGUACAAUCGAUAGUUGUCACUUUGAUAUUUUAAUGUAUUUGUAUUUUUGUAUACAUGGAUCAAUAUGGUAACAUAUUUUAGCCAAUGGAUGAUGAAGAGGAUUAUAAUGACACAUGUGAGACACCUGUUGUUUAACCAAUCACUGAAUGUUGUGGUUCCUAUAUAUGUGCACAUUGCCACUUUGUUUGUUAUGCUUGAAAAGGCAGUUUGUUGCCGAAACAUUGCAUUUUGGGGAGCGAAUAAAGUCACACUCCAUCAAGA